This is a long non-coding RNA of Brachypodium distachyon (stiff brome), 3813 nucleotides long. RefSeq lists it as uncharacterized. The record is from RefSeq and is a predicted model, not a curated record. The transcript is spliced from 2 exons. Lineage: Eukaryota; Viridiplantae; Streptophyta; Magnoliopsida; Poales; Poaceae.
CCCUAGCCGCAAUCUGCGAAGGGUUCCUUCGCUCAGCCUGGUAUCAAUUACUGCAUCUCUCUUAGGAUAUCUUCUUUAAUUGUUUGCUGCGUGUUUCGUUGGGAACCUUUGAUUGGAUUGGGAUUGCUCGUGAUGAUUCAGGUCCGAGAGGAUCUUAGCGGAUUUCGGUGAGGCGGAUUCUUUCGCCGUUGAUCGAUUCAUGUUGUUACACACGCUGAAGCUCUUCUCCGUUUCGAUUCCCGAUUCCUCUAUUCUCGUGUUCCUUUUGCAUCUGUGAAAUUUCUUUGGUGUGCUGAGAUCGAAGUAGAUUGGCUGGUGAUGAUUCAGAUCCGAGAGGGUCUUAGCGGAUUUCGGUGAGGCGGAUUCGUUCGCCGUUGAUCGAUUCAUGUUGUUACACACACUGAAGCCUUUUCUUUUCUCUUAGCUAUCUAUAUUUUUCUUUUCUCGUGAAAUCUGUAUUCUGCGAUGCGAUGAUGAUUCAUAUAGGUUUUUUUGCAGUGGUGGCAUCUGUCACCGUGAGCUUUCAAACCAAAAUCGACUUCUCUUUCCACUGAGCAUUGCGCUACUCCAAUUUCUUCAUUUUAUUUGCUUAAUUAGUCCUUCGAUUUGUCUCGGUGAAGAGCUCUUGACCAUAGGAAGUGCCGUAUGACACUGUAAACAGCAGCUGCUUCUAUGCCGCUUCAAGUGUCCGUCCUUCGAUCAUAACCUCUGUGGUUUGGUCUGGGCUGGAAAUUCACAUUUGCACCGGCUUGAUUCAGCUGUGUGCGUGAUUUUAAACGGGUCUCUGAGGGAUUUCUGCAAUGUCUUUCUCGCUUUUGCAGUUUAUUCGAAUCAGAUUUUUGUGAUUUUUGGGCCCGAUGCCACGUCUCCGAUAGCUUCUAGCAUUGACCGGAGAUGCUACAUUGGGCCGAGAAAGAGUUGCAAGACGUUUCACAUUUUGAUAGGAACCUGUGGCUGUUAUUCAGUCGGUACACAGAGCCGGUUGUUGUGAUUAUAUUUGCUCUUCGACAUAGCUUUUAGAUGUCGCAUGUGUUUAGCUUUUAGAUGUCGUAUGUGUUUGUUGAUGUGGGCGAUGAUGAUAAAUCUAAGGCUUGUUUCUCAAAACAUUCGCAGUUGCCGCCUAAGAGCUUUCGCCCUGCCAGGCUUGAGAGCUAAUGCUGCUAAUUCCUUCCUUGGAUGUCUGAGCCAUGUUUUGACAUUACGCCUCGUCAGUCUUUUUUUGUGUGGUUAUAUGAUUCUUGAUUUUAUCAAAUUUGUUACUGGGCUUGAGAGCUAAUGCUGCUAAUUCCUUCCUUGUGUCUGAGCCAUGUUUUGGCAUUUCGCCAGUCUUUUUUUUGUGUGUUAUAUGAUUCUGGAUUCAGAAGAAAAGAUCUACUCCCUCUAUCCUGUAUUAUUACUUAAAUUUGCCUAAAUAUGGAUGUAUCUAUUCUUAAAAUGUGUCUAGAAUACAAGUGACGUAGAUACAUAUAAUAUUUUUACAAUAAUUUAGUAUCGGAGUGAGUACAUAAUUGGUGGCAUAGGCUGCCGUGUCAAGAAUUCAACUUAAACCGAUGCGGUGUACAGUUCUGAUAUCCUGAAAGAACCAUUGUAUCGAUCAGGAUCAGGAAAACUUGAAAAUUUGCGAAGCCCUGCGGUCGGGAGGUUCCUCUGAGAAAGAGAGGAAACAGCAGAAAUAUUCCUGCGCAGAAGUUUCUGGCAUAAACAUAACGGCCUUCUGUGGAAGACUUUAAUUUACGCAUGGUGCCGACCAAUGGAAAUAGUUCUGGGUUUUGUAGGAAAAGAAUCGAGAAAAUUAAUUUACGCAGCGAGUCCCCACCAUCCCACCAUCUCAUAUGAAACGACUCAAAUUUGGCCUUCUAUCCCUGUGAAAUGGCUCAAAUUUGUCUAAGGGCCUAUCCGUUUUGUGGGCAUUUUGAAGGAUUUUUAGAGGAAUCUGAACCGCAGGGUAUUUUCCUAUAGGCAGCAUUUGGUAUACAUGAUACGGGAUAGCACGUUCGUGACUCGUGAGGAUAAUAAGCCUGGCCGGAUUCGCCACCAUACGAUGCCUUUUUUUUAAUUGCUGCGUCAAAAUUAGAGCUAGUUCAAAGCGUGUACAUGGCUAAACAGAAAAAGCCUCUCCUAAAGAUUGUCACUGAUUUGAAUUAGAGCUAGUUCAAAGCAGCUAGUUCAAAACCGUGUACAUUGUCACUGAUUUGAAUUAGAGCUAGUUCAAAGCCGUGUACAGGCUAAACAGAAAAAGGUCAGAGAAUGAGUAAAUAGUUGGGCUUGUUUCGGUAAUGCCAUGAGAAUAGGCCCGCAACUCUCCAGCAGCUAUGGCUCAUGAACCAAACCGGGCAUCGGUGGUGGACUCAGAUUUUCGAUCAGUAUUGGAGUAAGCAAAAUUACUGUAUUUUUUUUAUAGUUUUUACAACUGAAAUAAAAUUUCAAAGCCCAAUCAUCUAGCUGGGUCCGCCAUUGGCUGAAACGUCUCUCGCCAGCUAGUGUUUUGAGGCGCUGUUCUUAGGGUGAACGUUUUUUUUUACAGCUUUGUCACGGUGAAGUUUUUUUUACCCGAAACCCUCUCAGGGCGAGUUAAUUAAAAAGUCCCUUUUGUUUUUUCCUGAGCGAGGCCUUAAUGGGCUGGAACGCUCAAGUGGCCCGUCCAGAAGCUGUCAGGCCGGGCAUUUUGCGCGUCAGAGAUGCAUGUAAUAAAAAAUUAUUUGACAUGUAAUAAAAAAUUAUUUAAUAUGUGAUGGAAGUAGUAGAAAUUAGGAAGUACAUGUUACUCUUAAGUAGCACGCAGCCAAUAACCACUGGAAUGCGCCCCCUCGCUUCAACUUUGAUUGUUGUUCGUCGUGUAUAAAUACGGGUGGGCAGAACACGUACUCCCUCGCUUCAACUUAUUGCAAAGUUUUACUAAAACCACGGCAACAUAUAUACACUGAUCCAACUGAUUGCAAACUCACGUUUACUCAGUUCAAGAGAUGACACGGCUGUAUCAUGCGGAAACAGUUGUGCUGCUGGACGGCCACGACAACCAGUCAUUGAUCAGCGAUGCUCUCAUGUCACGUACGUUCCUUAGCGCGGCAACACGAGUACACCAUGUACGUGACGAGAGCAAGAUCAUCGUGGUGACCAAGGAAAUCAGGAACCUCACCAUGCCCGGUGACGGGAUCGACGCCACGGUCAUCUCAGGCAGCCGGAGCAACCCUGACGGUCCGGGAACCGUUUGAGACGCUGACACUGACUGUAUAUCAUUGUAUGGUCAGGAAUUCAUCUCGCCCGAGAACGUGACAAUCGAAAACGCUGUCGGUGCUGCCAAGAACCAGGCUCUACUUAGCUUUCAAAUGUUAAUGACCGACAUGUCCCUGCUGCCAUUCGGGCGACACCGUCUCCAUCGCUCGCACUGUAGAUUUCAUCUUCGGCGAUGCGACGACCAUCCUCCAAAGGUGUGACAUCGUCACCCGGCUGCCCCUCCACGGGCAAAGUAACAACAUCACGGCUCGAAGCCGUGAAAAGGUUGAGGAUGCAUCCGGCUUUGUGUUCCUAUUCUGCAACGCCGUCUUGUCUAACGACCUCGCCGACGUCAACACAUACCUCGGCCGUUGCUGGAGGACCUCGCCGACGUCAACACAUCCCAGCCACCCUUGGAGGCCAUUGGUGCGAGUUGUGUUCAUGGAAUGCAACAUGUCCAUAACUGUAACUCCCAAGCAGUGGCUCGAGUGGAACGGCAGCCCCGAUGUCAAUCGGUUCUUCUAAUUUGGUGCCCCCUGGAUUAAAAAGGUCAACCGUUGGACGAAGUGUAUUUUAGCUAAUAAAAAUUCUCAUUUACUA